AGAAAUUAUCCUUGAUGUGUUCGCUUUAUUUAUGAUGAAUCAUACAAGGACAAUUUCUCU
RNAcentral lists this non-coding RNA (60 nucleotides) under Callithrix jacchus (white-tufted-ear marmoset). The record is from RNAcentral. Lineage: Eukaryota; Metazoa; Chordata; Mammalia; Primates; Cebidae.